Molecule: transfer RNA, 75 nt
Filed under: Deinococcus sp. KSM4-11
Lineage: Bacteria; Thermotogati; Deinococcota; Deinococci; Deinococcales; Deinococcaceae
Description: tRNA-Ile
Rfam family: tRNA
About the family: Transfer RNA (tRNA) molecules are approximately 80 nucleotides in length. Their secondary structure includes four short double-helical elements and three loops (D, anti-codon, and T loops).
Source: RNAcentral
GGAGGUGUAGCUCAGUGGCAGAGCACUCGUCUGAUACGCGAGCGGCCGAAGGUUCGACUCCUUCCACCUCCACCA